RNAcentral lists this small RNA (501 nucleotides) under uncultured Glomus. RNAcentral's name for it is "SSU rRNA". It matches the Rfam family "Eukaryotic small subunit ribosomal RNA", at positions 569 to 1074 of the family's 1831-position model. The record is from RNAcentral. Lineage: Eukaryota; Fungi; Glomeromycota; Glomeromycetes; Glomerales; Glomeraceae.
AGCAGCCGCGGUAAUUCCAGCUCCAAUAGCGUAUAUUAAAGUUGUUGCAGUUAAAAAGCUCGUAGUUGAAUUUCGGGAUCAAUAUGUUGGUCGUGCCUCGGUACGUACUAGCAUAUUGGUUUCUCCUUUCUGAAGAACCAUGAUGUCAUUUAUUUGGUGUCGUGGGGAAUCAGGACUGUUACUUUGAAAAAAUUAGAGUGUUUAAAGCAGGCUCACGCUUGAAUACAUUAGCAUGGAAUAAUGAAAUAGGACGUUUGAUUCUAUUUUGUUGGUUUCUAGGAUCGACGUAAUGAUUAAUAGGGAUAGUUGGGGGCAUUAGUAUUCAAUUGUCAGAGGUGAAAUUCUUGGAUUUAUUGAAGACUAACUACUGCGAAAGCAUUUGCCAAGGAUGUUUUCAUUAAUCAAGAACGAAAGUUAGGGGAUCGAAGACGAUCAGAUACCGUCGUAGUCUUAACCAUAAACUAUGCCGACUAGGGAUCGGAUGAUGUUAAUUUUUAAUGA